UACGUAGGGGGCUAGCGUUGUCCGGAAUCAUUGGGCGUAAAGCGCGUGUAGGCGGGUGUGCAAGUCUGUGGUGAAAGCCUCCAGCUUAACUGGAGAAGUGCCAUGGAUACUGCACAUCUUGAGGAGGGUAGGGGCAUCUGGAACGGUCGGUGGAGCGGUGAAAUGCGUUGAUAUCGACCGGAACUCCGGUGGCGAAGGCGAGGUGCUGGACCCUUUCUGACGCUGAGGCGCGAAAGCGUGGGGAGCAAACAGG
RNAcentral lists this ribosomal RNA (253 nucleotides) under uncultured bacterium. RNAcentral's name for it is "partial 16S ribosomal RNA". It matches the Rfam family "Bacterial small subunit ribosomal RNA", at positions 524 to 776 of the family's 1533-position model. The record is from RNAcentral.